Molecule: unclassified non-coding RNA, 402 nt
Filed under: soil metagenome
Description: partial contains 5.8S ribosomal RNA, internal transcribed spacer 2, and large subunit ribosomal RNA
Rfam family: 5.8S ribosomal RNA (bases 1-121)
Source: RNAcentral
GAUGAAGAACGUAGCGAAAUGCGAUAAGUAAUGUGAAUUGCAGAAUUCAGUGAAUCAUCGAAUCUUUGAACGCAUAUUGCGCCCUUUGGCUAUUCCGAAGGGUAUGCCUGUUUGAGUAUCAUGAACACCUCAACUCUCAAGGUUUGCCAUGAUGAGCUUGGACUUUGGGGGUCUUGCUGGCCUGUGGUCAGCUCCUCUCAAAUGGAUUAGCUUGCCAGUGUUUGGUGGCAUCACAGGUGUGAUAACUAUCUACGCUUGUGGUUUUCCACCAGGUAACCUUCAGCAAUGGGGGUUCGCUGGGGCUCAUAAAUGUCUCUCCUCAGUGAGGACAGCUCUUUGAACGUUUGAUCUCAAAUCAGGUAGGACUACCCGCUGAACUUAAGCAUAUCAAUAAGCGGAGGA